This 249-nucleotide ribosomal RNA is filed under the name uncultured bacterium. Its description in RNAcentral is "partial 16S ribosomal RNA". It matches the Rfam family "Bacterial small subunit ribosomal RNA", at positions 84 to 334 of the family's 1533-position model. The record is from RNAcentral.
AUUGCUGGCGACCGGCGCACGGGUGAGUAACACGUAUCCAACCUGCCGAUAACUCGGGGAUAGCCUUUCGAAAGAAAGAUUAAUACCCGAUGGCAUAGUUCUUCCGCAUGGUAGAACUAUUAAAGAAUUUCGGUCAUCGAUGGGGAUGCGUUCCAUUAGGUUGUUGGCGGGGUAACGGCCCACCAAGCCUUCGAUGGAUGGGGGUUCUGAGAGGAAGGUCCCCCACAUUGGAACUGAGACACGGUCCAA